This 634-nucleotide ribosomal RNA is filed under the name Penicillium cinnamopurpureum. RNAcentral's name for it is "eukaryotic LSU rRNA". It matches the Rfam family "Eukaryotic large subunit ribosomal RNA", at positions 1 to 649 of the family's 3401-position model. The record is from RNAcentral. Lineage: Eukaryota; Fungi; Ascomycota; Eurotiomycetes; Eurotiales; Aspergillaceae.
UUGACCUCGGAUCAGGUAGGGAUACCCGCUGAACUUAAGCAUAUCAAUAAGCGGAGGAAAAGAAACCAACAGGGAUUGCCCCAGUAACGGCGAGUGAAGCGGCAAGAGCUCAAAUUUGAAAGCUGGCCCCCUCGGGGUCCGCAUUGUAAUUUGCAGAGGAUGCUUCGGGAGCGGUCCCCAUCUAAGUACCCUGGAACGGGUCGUCAUAGAGGGUGAGAAUCCCGUAUGGGAUGGGGUGUCCGCGCCCGUGUGAAGCUCCUUCGACGAGUCGAGUUGUUUGGGAAUGCAGCUCUAAAUGGGUGGUAAAUUUCAUCUAAAGCUAAAUAUUGGCCGGAGACCGAUAGCGCACAAGUAGAGUGAUCGAAAGAUGAAAAGCACUUUGAAAAGAGAGUUAAAAAGCACGUGAAAUUGUUGAAAGGGAAGCGCUUGCGACCAGACUCGCCCACGGGGUUCAGCCGGCAUUCGUGCCGGUGUACUUCCCCGCGGGCGGGCCAGCGUCGGUUUGGGCGGCCGGUCAAAGGCCCUCGGAAUGUAACGCCUCUCGGGGCGUCUUAUAGCCGAGGGUGCCAUGCGGCCUGCCCGGACCGAGGAACGCGCUUCGGCUCGGACGCUGGCAUAAUGGUCGUAAGCGACC